RNAcentral lists this long non-coding RNA (442 nucleotides) under Mytilus galloprovincialis (Mediterranean mussel). Lineage: Eukaryota; Metazoa; Mollusca; Bivalvia; Mytilida; Mytilidae. The record is from RNAcentral.
GGUUGGGAUACUGCUUAAAGAACAUGUUUAACCCAACCACAUUCUGUAUCACUAUGUAUGAAUGUGUCUGUCCCUAUCAGCAGCCUGUAAUUCAGUGGUUGUUGUUUGUUUUUCCUUCAUCUUUAUACAACUGUAUAUUGGUAUUAUGUUGUAUGGGUUUUGCUCAUUGUUGAAGGCUGUACAGUAACCUAUAGUUGUUUAAUUUCUGUGUCAUUUGAUCUCUUGUGGAGAGUUGUCUCAUUGGCAAUUAUACCACAUCUUCUUUUUUAUACUCAUCUUCUUAUUUUUAUACAUGUUAUAUAGCCUUGUAGGAUUUUCAAUUUUAGUUCAUUUAUGUUUUGAAGUUUAGUAUGACAUCCAUUUUCACUGAACUAGUACACACUAUUUUGAGUCCAUCUAAAGCCUGACUGAGGGUGCUGGAUUUUCUUCGCUGUGAUGAAGA